RNAcentral lists this long non-coding RNA (350 nucleotides) under Vitis vinifera (wine grape). RNAcentral's name for it is "long non-coding RNA (VVIN_LNC000229)". Lineage: Eukaryota; Viridiplantae; Streptophyta; Magnoliopsida; Vitales; Vitaceae. The record is from RNAcentral.
GUUUGGACAGGGAGAUGGCUUCUGUAUUCUACAAAACCCACUCAAGCUCAGCAGUUAAAAUGACUGACACUUCUGGUAUUAGAAAGAUUCUUCCAGAUUCUGAAAUAUGUGAUUUUGAAUUUGAUCCAUGUGGUUAUUCCAUGAAUGCCAUUGAAGGAGCUGCAAUUUCCACCAUUCAUGUCACGCCUGAAGAUGGUUUUAGUUAUGCUAGCUUUGAAACGAUGGGAUAUAAUCCAAAAGAUGUGAACCUGAGCCAGCUGAUUGAAAGGGUGUUGUCUUGUUUCCAACCGAAUGAGUUCUCUGUAGCGGUGCAUGCUGACAUCUCGGGUAAGUUACUUGAGCGAAAUUGC